AGUCAAGUAAUUAAGUGCAUGUGGUGGAUGCCUUGGCAGUCAGAGGCGAUGAAAGACGUGAUAGCCUGCGAAAAGCUCCGGGGAGGCGGCAAAUAUCCUUUGAUCCGGAGAUGUCUGAAUGGGGGAACCCACCUACUUUAAGGUAGGUAUUGCAACAUGAAUACAUAGUGUUGCAAGGCGAACGAGGGGAAGUGAAACAUCUCAGUACCCUUAGGAAAAGAAAUCAAUUGAGAUUCCCUCAGUAGCGGCGAGCGAACGGGGAUCAGCCCAUUAAGUUAUGUGUGUUUUAGUGGAACGCUCUGGGAAGUGCGAACGUAGAGGGUGAUAUUCCCGUACACGAAAGGGCACACAUAAUGAUGACGAGUAGGGCGAGGCACGUGAAACCUUGUCUGAAUAUGGGGGGACCAUCCUCCAAGGCUAAAUACUCCUGACUGACCGAUAGUGAACCAGUACCGUGAGGGAAAGGCGAAAAGAACCCCUGUGAGGGGAGUGAAAUAGAUCCUGAAACCGCAUGCAUACAAGCAGUGGGAGCACCUUCGUGGUGUGACUGCGUACCUUUUGUAUAAUGGGUCAGCGACUUAUAUUCAGUAGCGAGGUUAACCGUAUAGGGGAGCCGUAGAGAAAUCGAGUCUUAAUAGGGCGUUUAGUUGCUGGGUAUAGACCCGAAACCAGGCGAUCUAUCCAUGAGCAGGUUGAAGGUUGGGUAACACUAACUGGAGGACCGAACCCACUGUCGUUGAAAAGCCAGGGGAUGACUUGUGGAUAGGGGUGAAAGGCUAAUCAAGCCUGGUGAUAGCUGGUUCUCCCCGAAAGCUAUUUAGGUAGCGCCUCGGACGAAUACCAUAGGGGGUAGAGCACUGUUUCGGCUAGGGGGUCAUCCCGACUUACCAAACCGAUGCAAACUCCGAAUACCUAUGAGUACUAUCCGGGAGACAGACUGCGGGUGCUAACGUCCGUAGUCAAGAGGAAAACAAUCCAGACCGCCAGCUAAGGCCCCAAAAUCAUAGUUAAGUGGGAAACGAUGUGGGAAGGCAUAGACAGCUAGGAGGUUGGCUUAGAAGCAGCCACCCUUUAAAGAAAGCGUAAUAGCUCACUAGUCGAGUCGGCCUGCGCGGAAGAUGUAACGGGGCUAAA
This 1134-nucleotide ribosomal RNA is filed under the name Acinetobacter baumannii. Its description in RNAcentral is "partial 23S ribosomal RNA". It matches the Rfam family "Bacterial large subunit ribosomal RNA", at positions 1 to 1185 of the family's 2925-position model. Lineage: Bacteria; Pseudomonadati; Pseudomonadota; Gammaproteobacteria; Moraxellales; Moraxellaceae. The record is from RNAcentral.